RNAcentral lists this ribosomal RNA (253 nucleotides) under uncultured bacterium. Its description in RNAcentral is "partial 16S ribosomal RNA". It matches the Rfam family "Bacterial small subunit ribosomal RNA", at positions 524 to 776 of the family's 1533-position model. The record is from RNAcentral.
UACGGAGGGGGCUAGCGGUGUUCGGAAUUACUGGGCGUAAAGGGCGCGUAGGCGGCGUCGUAAGUCAGGCGUGAAAGGCCCGGGCUCAACCCGGGAACUGCGCUUGAUACUGCGGCGCUCGAGUCCGGGAGAGGAUGGCGGAAUUCCCAGUGUAGAGGUGAAAUUCGUAGAGAUUGGGAAGAACACCGGUGGCGAAGGUGGCCAUCUGGACCGGUACUGACGCUAAUGCGCGAAAGCGUGGGGAGCAAACAGG